UGGGCUCGAGUUGCAGAGCCCAAUCCGAACUGAGACGGCUUUUUGAGAUUUGCGAAGGGUCGCCCCUUAGCAUCUCCAUUGUCACCGCCAUUGUAGCACGUGUGUAGCCCAGCCCGUAAGGGCCAUGAGGACUUGACGUCAUCCCCACCUUCCUCGCGGCUUAUCACCGGCAGUCUCCUUAGAGUGCUCAACUAAAUGGUAGCAACUAAGGACGGGGGUUGCGCUCGUUGCGGGACUUAACCCAACAUCUCACGACACGAGCUGACGACAGCCAUGCAGCACCUGUGCUCCAGGCUCCGAAGAGAGGGCCACAUCUCUGCGACCGGUCCUGGACAUGUCAAGGGCUGGUAAGGUUCUGCGCGUUGCGUCGAAUUAAACCACAUGCUCCACCGCUUGUGCGGGCCCCCGUCAAUUCCUUUGAGUUUAAUCUGCCGACCGUACUCCCAAGGCGGAAUGCUUAAAGCGUUAGCUGCGCCACUAGUGAGUAAACCCACUAACGGCUGGCAUUCAUCGUUUACGGCGUGGACUACCAGGG
RNAcentral lists this ribosomal RNA (535 nucleotides) under uncultured Bradyrhizobium sp. RNAcentral's name for it is "partial 16S ribosomal RNA". Lineage: Bacteria; Pseudomonadati; Pseudomonadota; Alphaproteobacteria; Hyphomicrobiales; Nitrobacteraceae. The record is from RNAcentral.